This 253-nucleotide ribosomal RNA is filed under the name uncultured bacterium. Its description in RNAcentral is "partial 16S ribosomal RNA". It matches the Rfam family "Bacterial small subunit ribosomal RNA", at positions 524 to 776 of the family's 1533-position model. The record is from RNAcentral.
CACGUAGGGUGCGAGCGUUGUCCGGAAUUAUUGGGCGUAAAGAGCUCGUAGGCGGUUUGUCGCGUCUGCUGUGAAAACUCGGGGCUUAACCCCGGGCCUGCAGUGGGUACGGGCAGACUAGAGUGCGGUAGGGGAGACUGGAAUUCCUGGUGUAGCGGUGAAAUGCGUAGAUAUCUGGAGGAACACCGGUGGCGAAGGCGGCGUCCUGGACCAAUACUGACACUGAGGAGCGAAAGCCAGGGGAGCAAACGGG